GUGUGUGCUGUGCUUAUGCUUCCCCUGCCCUUCUGAAUCUGUAAUUGUCGAGCUGAUGCAUUCUGGAGCUUGCAAAGGUGAUAGCAGAACCAAAGAGUUGCAGCUCAGCAUGAUCAGUAGAUGCCUGAGUGUGACAUGGUUAAUUUCUUAAAAGCAACACCUUCAUCCAGCAUCACCGUGUGAAGUAUACCCUCCCUCUACCUUUAGCKUUCACACAUAAUACAGUAUGCCUCCAAAUGUUUCAGAACAAACAAAACUGAAAUUGGCUUAUAUGACUCAUAAGAAAACCACUAAAAGACUCAUUCAUAUGUUAGAGAGGACUUAGAGGACACCUAGCAGGUGAUUGUUACUCAAAAGGCAAUGUAUCCUCUUUUUUAUGUUGGCUAAUUUGGUCACACUGUUGUAUCUGUUGUGGGCUUUAUUCUUUUACUUAAGCAUACAUUCCUUGGGGCAGGGGCCAGCUUUGUGUGUGUCUUGUUAAAGACCAUAUUAAGAGUUCCUGCUGUUGCAAUAAGAUAAUUUAAUCUCUGGGUUGUUGGUCUAAAUCCUGCUCAGAUAAGGGAUAAUCAUAUGUUCUUGCCAUUUAAGUGCCUGUGUGAAAUGCGGUACCCAAUGGCUGUAUGGAAACAACACAGAGCUGUCAGCACCGAGGGCACUGGCAAUACUGUUAGCACUGCAUGCGACAAAAUGCACUGUGGAAACCUGCCUGUCUUCAUCAUGAGACAGCCUCUUCUUCACUUCAGGCAGCGCUGAAGCGUUCAGUUGGGAGCAGUGUGAGCAAACUGUUCACCCAGACUACAAAUAUUGCCAGAACUAUUCAUACAGCAUUCUCCACAAGCUCUAAAGCAGUAACUACAAAAUAAUAUUACAAAAUUACAAUAAUAUUACAAAAUCAAUAAUUAAACAACACAAAUAUUUGCACAUGUUCCACCAACAUGUCACAUAUGUAACCAGUGUGUUUCRUGUCAGGCUCUAGUAUCUUAAACAACAGAGGAAAUAGAUGCAUUAAAAAUUCUUUGCCUUUGAACCUACGUUUUACUCUUAGUCAAUAUUGUUUUAUGUCAAGAACUCAUGGUACAAUUUUUAUUUUGCCACUGCAAAAGUCUUUUUCUUUCCUACUUUUAAAAGACAAUGCAGAUAACGCAUAGAUUUAAAAGUGUAGGUGUUCCUUAUAUGGCUGUACUAUAAUAA
Nothoprocta perdicaria is the source of this 1191-nucleotide long non-coding RNA. RefSeq lists it as uncharacterized. The record is from RefSeq and is a predicted model, not a curated record. The transcript has 2 exons. NCBI's taxonomy places the organism in Eukaryota, Metazoa, Chordata, Aves, Tinamiformes, Tinamidae.